This is a long non-coding RNA of Brassica rapa (field mustard), 2701 nucleotides long. RefSeq lists it as uncharacterized. Lineage: Eukaryota; Viridiplantae; Streptophyta; Magnoliopsida; Brassicales; Brassicaceae. The record is from RefSeq and is a predicted model, not a curated record.
CGGUCAUCUAUGAUCGGGGGUGUCACAAAGGUGGUAUCAGAGCAUGGUUAUACGAUGCUUGAAUGGGACUUGUUUCAAAUGUUUUUCGAGUCAAAAUGAGUCGCAAGGAUAACUAGGAUAUGCUGGCUGGUUCUUUCAUUUUAGAAUAGAUAGUCAUGGGUAGUUACCUAACAGUGAUCUUUCAUAGCAGAAGCACCGAGACAAGCUUGAACGGAUUGACCUUACUUACCGAUGUUACUAUCAUAAGGCUCGAGUGUGCUACCCUCAUGGUCGGGUUCACUAUCGCCAUGUUAAGAAUUUUAUACAUCGAAUACAUCUCUGGACUCAUGUGUUAUCGAUGUCAAGGUGGGCGUUGUUUGUGGUUUGAUUCAGAGCGAUGCGACUGCACAUGAUCACCUAGAUGCACUUAUUCUUCCGGCUUCUCAAGUCUCCAGCUUAUGCUGAGACGUACAAGAAACAGAGUCGUACAAGCCUGAAUUGUUCAAAAUUUGUUUGGAGCUUACCGUUGGAGGAAGAGAUGGUUCAACUAUAGUACAAGCCGAUGGACACACAUGCAUCUUCUGUUGGCAACAAGACAUCUUAAAGCUUAUGAUGGAAAGAAGUAGUGGGACCACAAGAUACAGAAGAAGGACUAAACCGUUCGAGGUAUACUAUGGCUUGAGGCAGAUUUGGGAUGCAACACCCUGAGAAAAAUAUUUUCUUCAGAGAGGUGAGAUCGAUUUGGACAGAUUUCAAGAGUUCACGAAGUAGUAUUUUAUACACAAGAUAUGGGACCGAUUGAAGAUUCAGUUCACGGAGUUGGUACAGUGGGAUGUUUCCGCCAGAAGGUUCAGGUCGAGUUAAUCAUAUACAACAAUUUCAGCAUCGAGAUAUGUGGUCGAGUGAAUUUCAUUCAUCGAUUAUGGUUUGAAGAAUAAUCCAAAGAUCAUAUGGAAAAUCUUUGGGAACUUAGCCAAGAAUUUUGGAGUAGAUAAAAGACCAUGGAGUUUCAAAGCCUCGAGGAGAUGUUAGAGUAUGACGUGAAUGUUAAAGAAGCUAUUAUUGCUGAAGAAGUUAACCAAGUCAUGCAGACCGUUUAUUUUCCAACCGCUGCAGAUCAAAGAUCAAGAUCGAGGACCUUGAGCCGUUAUGGUUGUUACUAGCAAAGACAGAAUGGUCGUGAUUGUCAAAGUUUGGGAAAUCCUGGAACGUUUGCAUCAUUCGCGCUUUGGUGGUUCUUGUGAAGAGUUAGGAAUUUAGGUUACCCUUCCUCAUGAAGUUACCCGAUCUAGUUACCUAUACCUAAGAUAACACUUGUUGAACUUGUCCGCUUUUCCUUACCGUUAGUCCACAUCCAAGUGUUAGGCUAUUUGGGUAGAGCCUACACUUUAUAGUUGUCUGGACCGUCAAAACCCCUGAAAGGUCCAAUCACAGGUUUGCUUCUUAUCCCAUUGUGUGUUGUGUGCAUUUUUAAAAUCUUAUAAUUGAUUGAAAUAAAAUAUAUAUAUAUAUAUAUAUAUAUAUGUGAAUUGUGAUCAAGAUGUCGUAAGAGACCUUGCCUAUGGAUGGAGUUUUCCGCCCAUAUCGUGUUUUAUUCGGGAAUAACACAUAGUUGUAGUUCCCGAGCAUUGUCAUAGUAUUAGAAAGGAUUCACUUUGGUGAAUUCAAGUAUCCGUUCUUAUUUGUGGAAGUAUUGGCUGCCAUUUGAAGUAAUGGUAUGCCUUCCCCAUUCCUUAGUACUUCUGUUAGAGCGGUAUGUUUCUAUCUAGAGUGAGAUUUGCUAUCUAGUUACCGAGCUCAAUUAGGAUGUCGAGGAAAGAAGUAUUAGGAAGAAGACCCGUCACUGUUGGCCUACAAUGAUACUCUACCAAGUGUUUGAGCAUGCUCAUAACAGUUUGGCAAGUUGAAAACCUUUUGGGAAAAAGGUGAAGAAGUGUACUCUAGUAACUUGAUUGUUUAAAUUGUAAAAGAUGAAAAGGUGCAGAGUAGAAGACAGUCUGAUAAUCAAGAAAGAUGAAGAUGUGGUUAAGGCAUUGAAAGGAUGGUUGACAUCUAAAAGUAACAAGUUCACUAUUCUUGUUGAACCUGGAUUCGCUGCAAUAGCCUAGGGAUCUCACCAAGUGGUUCUUGCCGAGUUCUAGUAGUAGUUAGAAGAUUAUAAAAGGGUCUCAGAUAGAUCAGAAGUGUAAAGAAUACAGUAAGUGAAAUCAUUCUUGGAAUGGGUGAGUGUGCGUAUUUGAGAGUAGCACCUCUGGUCCGAAUCAUGUUGGUGUGAUUGAUCGUGCAUGUUCUUGUUUGAUUGUUGCACGGUUAAUCAAGUUAACAUUGACCAAACUGGAGAUGUUACUUUCACGUAUGGCACAUCACCUAACGUUCCAAAUUUCAUGUUGCUGUUAUGGGAGAAAGUCAGAUAGAAAAGGUUGAGAAGUAAUAGUCUACAUAUACAAGAUUGUUAGAAAAAGUAUGCAGACCGCAGUUGACAAGAAUUGUGCAGACUAAAGAAUUUGGUUAUCUUGAAAGUGGCUGCUCAGAAAAGAAAGGAUCGGUUGGGGGAAUCAAGGGAUCGACCAUGAGUUGUUUUGAUAUGGGAAGAUUAAGAUAAGGUAAGAGCUAAUAUCCAUAACUCCUUUCAGAGACUGUUCAGUAAAGAGUGUACAGCUACGUUUUCAGAAUUCGGGGACGAAUUCUAUUGAGGAGGGAAGAAUGUAAUAACCCUCACGAG